Molecule: ribosomal RNA, 635 nt
Filed under: Paratrophurus sp. Konza IVFF-37
Lineage: Eukaryota; Metazoa; Nematoda; Chromadorea; Rhabditida; Telotylenchidae
Also listed under: 4 other names
Description: SSU rRNA
Rfam family: Eukaryotic small subunit ribosomal RNA
Source: RNAcentral
GGCGAUCAGAUACCGCCCUAGUUCUGACCGUAAACGAUGCCAACUAGCGAUCCGCCGGCGGAUUCAUUCGCCCUGGUGGGGAGCUUCCCGGAAACGAAAGUCUUCCGGUUCCGGGGGAAGUAUGGUUGCAAAGCUGAAACUUAAAGGAAUUGACGGAAGGGCACCACCAGGAGUGGAGCCUGCGGCUUAAUUUGACUCAACACGGGGAAACUCACCCGGCCCGGACACCGCAAGGAUUGACAGAUCGAUAGCUUUUUCAUGAUUCGGUGGAUGGUGGUGCAUGGCCGUUCUUAGUUCGUGGAUCGAUUUGUCUUCUUAAUUGAGAUAACGAGCGAGACUCUUGCCUACUAAAUAGCCAGUGUAUUGUCACUGUGCAUAUGGCUUCUUAGAGGGAUUUUCGGUGUUCAGCCGCACGAAACGGAGCAAUAACAGGUCUGUGAUGCCCUUAGAUGUCCGGGGCUGCACGCGCGCUACACUGGCAAAAUCAGCGUGCUUGUCCUGCUCCGAAGGGAGUGGGUAAACCCUUGAAAAUUUGCCGUGAUUGGGAUCGGAAAUUGCAAUUAUUUUCCGUGAACGAGGAAUUCCAAGUAAGUGCGAGUCAUCAACUCGCGUUGAUUACGUCCCUGCCCUUUGUA